Eubacterium sp. 14-2 is the source of this 63-nucleotide regulatory RNA element. It matches the Rfam family "pemK RNA". NCBI's taxonomy places the organism in Bacteria, Bacillati, Bacillota, Clostridia, Eubacteriales, Eubacteriaceae. The record is from Rfam.
AUAAUGAUACUUCUGAAUUUUUGAUUUAAAUUCAGUCAUAUAAUGACGGUGUGAUUCCGAUGU